This 497-nucleotide ribosomal RNA is filed under the name uncultured bacterium. RNAcentral's name for it is "partial 16S ribosomal RNA". It matches the Rfam family "Bacterial small subunit ribosomal RNA", at positions 28 to 507 of the family's 1533-position model. The record is from RNAcentral.
GAUGAACGCUGGCGGCGUGCCUAAUACAUGCAAGUCGAGCGAACAGACGAGGAGCUUGCUCCUCUGACGUUAGCGGCGGACGUGUGAGUAACACGUGGAUAACCUACCUAUAAGACUGGGAUAACUUCGGGAAACCGGAGCUAAUACCGGAUAAUAUAUUGAACCGCAUGGUUCAAUAGUGAAAGACGGUUUUGCUGUCACUUAUAGAUGGAUCCGCGCCGCAUUAGCUAGUUGGUAAGGUAACGGCUUACCAAGGCAACGAUGCGUAGCCGACCUGAGAGGGUGAUCGGCCACACUGGAACUGAGACACGGUCCAGACUCCUACGGGAGGCAGAAGUAGGGAAUCUUCCGCAAUGGGCGAAAGCCUGACGGAGCAACGCCGCGUGAGUGAUGAAGGUCUUCGGAUCGUAAAACUCUGUUAUUAGGGAAGAACAAAUGUGUAAGUAACUAUGCACGUCUUGACGGUACCUAAUCAGAAAGCCACGGCUAACUACGUG